UUCCCCAGCAAAUCCCGCCGUGCGCGGCGAGCGGCGGUGCGGUGCGAGGCGAUGCUGCCUCAGCGGCGCUGCCUCCCGCGGCGGUGCCGCCUCCGGGGCGGGGCGGCGGCCGGGAGCCGCUGACGGAGCCGGGGCGGGAGAAGCGCUCCCUCAGGCCGGGCGGCGGGAGGUUCCUGCGGGCUCCCUGCUCCCGAGGGCCGGGAAUGCUUCCAGGAACGCUCGCAGGAACGCGUGUGCCGCCCUCCCUCACGCGUCAUGUGGCCGUCGCCACUUUGGGGCUGGAAGGGAACUUCAAGACCGCUCGUUCCUGCCAUGGGCGGGUGUGAAAAGUGCAUAUUAUAUGGCUCUACGCAGAUAUUUACUUGAUGACAAAGAAAUCGUGGCCAAAGGUCCCCUCCAUGAAACCAUCCAGCCAGCAAAAUCCCACAAAAAUGCUGAAGGAAUCCUAAAGAACAAUUAUGAAGAGACUGUCAGCACAGGGACAGAAGCAGGACCAGAGCAGGUACAUGUUUGUGUUGGAUGUACCAGGGUUUCACCACAGGCUGAGUCACGGGUGUUCAACGAGGCUGGUUUUAGCUGGCCAGGUGAAGUCCUAACCAAGCACUAGAGUCAGGAGAAGGUGGUAGAGCUUCAGCUGAGCCUGCAGGAGGGUGGCUAAGGGAAGGACAUUCCUGUGAUUCCAGUGACUACAGGAAGUGUUGGGCAGCUGGAGGCACUGGAGUGACCCUGCCCCACACCUGUGCUCACCCAGAGCAGCGAGGUACUGUCUGCGGCAGUGGGACCUCGACUCAGCUCUCUCCUGCUGCUCGGUGAACAUCCCCACAGUUCAGCAGUGCUGCCAAACAUCCCCAACUCCUUUGUUUUCCAUUUCACAUUGAUUCCAUGAUUCACAUCUCUUGGGAGGGGCGAGGAGAGCCACUGGCUUCAGCCCCGUUUCACAUGCACAUCAUGAGGAGCUGGCAGCUCCAGGCAGCACACCCUGUGCUGAAAUAGCUGCCUGAAGCAAAGCAACAGCCUUUGGCCUGCUACAAACACACCGGUGCUCAGGGCAGGAGCAGCAAUCCCUCCAUUCCCCGCCUGGCUGCCCCCUCACUCCAGACCCCUCUGCCACCAGCUGUGCCCAGAGCCGAGGCCUCAAACCCCGGCACGGCAGCGCUCAGGGGCUGAAAGCACAGCACUGUCCUGGAUCUUGACUUCUCCCACAGAGAGCACGAAUUCCAGCUCAGAACCACUCCCCAAAAAUGAGUGAAAUUGCCAAGAGUUGGCAGUGUCUGUUGUGUAGAGUCCCAUGCCCUUGAGCUGAUUCCACUGCACUAGAACAUAGAGAUCCUGAGAGGAAACUUCCCAAGAACAGCCUCCAACCAUGAGGGUUAUCUGUCCCUGGAAACACACAGCACGCUGACAGCCCUGCAGUAAGUUCUAAUUCCACUAAAACUUUCUUGUACUGAUCCUUGACAAAACUUUUGUGGAAAUUUCAUACCCCUCACAGGUAAUAGCGUGGUAAUCCUCAAAAAUCCUUGUGUUUUGGAAGCAUUCCAGCAACUCAGUGUUGUUCUGACUCCUGUGAGGGACAACACAAGCUGGUUUUGUUUCUGGAGAUGUUUCACCUAAUGACUGUUGUAGGGAUGAGACUCAUUUUUUGUUUUUCCACCUUGUGCCACUGUGGAAAAUGCACCAGGAACAGCUGAGCACAUGAAGAAUCCAAUACCUGGACUUGCAAAAAAAAGAGAAAUCUGGAAACUAGUCAAUAAUGGAAAAUUCGAGUUGGAACCACAAUAUACCAGUCUACCUCAUAAAACCUACAAUAUCUGGCUGUCAAAAGAACUGACUACACCAGUGCAGGUCAUAAAAUUAUUGCUCAAGUCUAGGCAAAAACAGUCCCAUGUAGCAAUUGAGAACAGAAGAGGCAGUUGUUUAUUAAUGACAACAGAAACAAAAUAAAAAUGAUAAAGCAAACAGAUACUUCUUUAAAUAUAAAUUUGCUAGUCAUCUGCUGUUCUGCCAGCCUCUUAUUUAUUUUUUUUUCUUUUUUAUUCAGUUACAAAAGAUUCAUCCAGGGCUCAGGAAAACAUGAUACAUAACAUAAAUUUGUCACCUAUGACAACAGCAAACAUCAUGUAACAGAAAAAUACCUCAAAACAUAUUUACAAAUCCAUACUCUGUAGUCAUUGAGAAAUUCCUUACCUAAUGAGUGGCAGAUUAUGCAUGGACACUACAUUCCCAGAGGCAUUCUCCAGUCAGAGUCACUUAGCAUAAAAUCCAACAGACAAAUAGAUUGUCUAUAAAUAAGGCCAGUUUCACUCCUAAUUUAUACAUUUUGAUGACCAGAAUUUUUUGCUAUUACUAUGUUAAUAGAAAAAAAAAA
Long non-coding RNA from Motacilla alba alba, 2365 nucleotides. RefSeq lists it as uncharacterized. NCBI's taxonomy places the organism in Eukaryota, Metazoa, Chordata, Aves, Passeriformes, Motacillidae. The transcript is spliced from 2 exons. The record is from RefSeq and is a predicted model, not a curated record.